RNAcentral lists this small RNA (276 nucleotides) under Saimiri boliviensis boliviensis (Bolivian squirrel monkey). RNAcentral's name for it is "Metazoan signal recognition particle RNA (ENSSBOG00000003379.1)". Lineage: Eukaryota; Metazoa; Chordata; Mammalia; Primates; Cebidae. The record is from RNAcentral.
GCCAGGUGCAGUGUCAUGCACCUGUAGCCCCAGGUACAUGGGAGACUGAGGCAGGAGGAUUAAAUGGGCUUGGAAUUUGUGGACUGUAGUGUGCUGUGCCAACCAGGUGAUUUUCUAGGUUUGGCAUCAAUAUGGUGACCUUUUGGAGGCAAGGGACCACCAGAAUUUUAAAAUAACAGUGAAAUGAUCCAGCACAGGUUGAAAAUAAAGCAGGUCAAGACUCCCAUGCUGUAUCACUGCAUCCCAGCCUGGGCAACAUAGUAAGACCCUACCUCU